GAUGAACGCUAGCGGCAGGCCUAACACAUGCAAGUCGAGGGGCAGCACGUCUUCGGAUGGUGGCGACCGGCGCACGGGUGCGUAACGCGUAUGCAACCUACCUCUUACAGUGGGAUAGCCCAGAGAAAUUUGGAUUAAUACCGCAUAGUAUACAGAUUCAGCAUUGGGACUGUAUUAAACAUUUAUGGGUAAGAGAUGGGCAUGCGUUCUAUUAGUUAGUUGGAGUGGUAACGGCACCCCAAGACAGCGAUAGAUAGGGGCCCUGAGAGGGGGAUCCCCCACACUGGUACUGAGACACGGACCAGACUCCUACGGGAGGCAGCAGUGGGGAAUAUUGGACAAUGGGGGCAACCCUGAUCCAGCAAUGCCGCGUGAGUGAUGAAGGCCUUAGGGUUGUAAAGCUCUUUUGCCAGGGAAGAUGAUGACUGUACCUGGAGAAUAAGCCCCGGCUAACUUCGUGCCAGCAGCUGCGGUAAUGUGACU
Molecule: ribosomal RNA, 483 nt
Filed under: uncultured bacterium
Lineage: Bacteria
Description: bacterial SSU rRNA
Rfam family: Bacterial small subunit ribosomal RNA
Source: RNAcentral